GAUGAAGAACGUAGCGAAAUGCGAUAAGUAAAGUGAAUUGCAGAAUUCAGUGAAUCAUCGAAUCUUUGAACGCACAUUGCGCCCGCCAGUAUUCUGGCGGGCAUGCCUGUCCGAGCGUCAUUUCAACCAUCAAGCCCCCGGGCUUGUGUUGGGGACCUGCGGCUGCCCGCAGGCCCUGAAAACCAGUGGCGGGCUCGCUGUCACACCGAGCGUAGUAGCAAUCACCUCGCUCAGGGUGUGCUGCGGGUUCCGGCCGUUAAACAGCCUUACAAAACCCAAGGUUGACCUCGGAUCAGGUAGGAAGACCCGCUGAACUUAAGCAUAUCAAUAAGCGGAGGA
RNAcentral lists this unclassified non-coding RNA (339 nucleotides) under soil metagenome. RNAcentral describes it as "partial contains 5.8S ribosomal RNA, internal transcribed spacer 2, and large subunit ribosomal RNA". The stretch from base 1 to 120 matches the Rfam family "5.8S ribosomal RNA", at positions 35 to 154 of the family's 154-position model. The record is from RNAcentral.